RNAcentral lists this transfer RNA (73 nucleotides) under Thermoleophilaceae bacterium. RNAcentral describes it as "tRNA-Ala". It matches the Rfam family "tRNA". From Rfam's summary of the family: Transfer RNA (tRNA) molecules are approximately 80 nucleotides in length. Their secondary structure includes four short double-helical elements and three loops (D, anti-codon, and T loops). Further hydrogen bonds mediate the characteristic L-shaped molecular structure. tRNAs have two regions of fundamental functional importance: the anti-codon, which is responsible for specific mRNA codon recognition, and the 3' end, to which the tRNAs corresponding amino acid is attached (by aminoacyl-tRNA synthetases). tRNAs cope with the degeneracy of the genetic code in two manners: having more than one tRNA (with a specific anti-codon) for a particular amino acid; and 'wobble' base-pairing, i.e. permitting non-standard base-pairing at the 3rd anti-codon position. The record is from RNAcentral. Lineage: Bacteria; Bacillati; Actinomycetota; Thermoleophilia; Thermoleophilales; Thermoleophilaceae.
GGGGCCAUAGCUCAGCUGGCAGAGCACUCGGUUUGCAUCCGAGAGGUCGCCGGUUCGAUCCCGGCUGGCUCCA